GUCUCUAUCAGAGUUUGAUCCUGGCUCAGGAUGAACGCUGGCGGCGUGCCUAACACAUGCAAGUCGAGCGCGACUGAUUGAUGCUUGCAUCAUUGAAAGUUGAGCGGCGGACGGGUGAGUAACGCGUGGGUAACCUGCCCUAUACACAUGGAUAACAUACUGAAAAGUUUACUAAUACAUGAUAAUGUAUAUUUACGGCAUCGUAGGUAUACCAAAGUGUUAGCGGUAUAGGAUGGACCCGCGUCUGAUUAGCUAGUUGGUGAGAUAACUGCCCACCAAGGCAAUGAUGGGUAGCCGGCCUGAGAGGGUGAACGGCCACAAGGGGACUGAGACACGGCCCCU
This 342-nucleotide ribosomal RNA is filed under the name uncultured bacterium. RNAcentral's name for it is "bacterial SSU rRNA". It matches the Rfam family "Bacterial small subunit ribosomal RNA", at positions 1 to 334 of the family's 1533-position model. The record is from RNAcentral.